CACGCUGAGGAUGUGGUUUUCCGUUUGUCCCCUGGGGAUGCUGUUGACUGCACUCACCUCAGGCUUGCGUGGGUUGUCUCUGCCUGGCCUCGCUCUCGCAGCGUGGGGGUGAAAAGGGACAGGCGGAGCGCUUACUGGCUGUGGACAGGAGCUGCCGCGGCUGAAGUUGGAGGGGCUAGAGAAAGGUAAAGAAGAAGAAAUCGAAGGCCGGCCGGCUGGCAGCUGCCUCCCGCUGCAGGCAAGAGAGAGCCUGCCUCUCCAGGUGAGGAAGGAUACCUCUUCGUAGUCCGCAGCAGGUCAUGCUGCCAACGUGCACCGCAGGAUCUGUAUGUGUCACUAGCAGCAUGGUGGAGGACAGCCAAGCGACCAGAGUUACAGAAGAGGAAGGGAGGAGGGAAGGAGAAAGAAGCGUCCGAACUGGCAAAUUCUCCUGGCAGCGCCGAGAGCGAGCGCUGCGUAUCCUGCGCCCUGUUCCUCAUUUUUAGUGGCCUCCGCCUCUGCCCUGCAGCCCAUCGCUCCAGGAGCUAACUGACCGCCUGUCUGUUCCCCGCCGGACCGAUGAGCAUGACUCCGGGAACGACUGCUGAGGUGUCCCAGGGGCAGGGGGAGUGUCAGAGGCUCCAAGCUCUGGAGCAGACUUGCUCCCGGGACUUGUUACGUGCGUGACUGAAUAAACAUUCCCCGUCUCCUUUGCCCGC
Molecule: long non-coding RNA, 698 nt
Organism: Aptenodytes forsteri (emperor penguin)
Lineage: Eukaryota; Metazoa; Chordata; Aves; Sphenisciformes; Spheniscidae
Exons: 3
Source: RefSeq, a predicted model, not a curated record